RNAcentral lists this ribosomal RNA (513 nucleotides) under uncultured bacterium. Its description in RNAcentral is "bacterial SSU rRNA". It matches the Rfam family "Bacterial small subunit ribosomal RNA", at positions 997 to 1509 of the family's 1533-position model. The record is from RNAcentral.
UUUCCAGAGAUGGAUUGGUGCCUUCGGGAACUUAGAUACAGGUGCUGCAUGGCUGUCGUCAGCUCGUGUCGUGAGAUGUUGGGUUAAGUCCCGCAACGAGCGCAACCCUUUUCCUUAUUUGCCAGCGGGUCAUGCCGGGAACUUUAAGGAUACUGCCAGUGACAAACUGGAGGAAGGCGGGGACGACGUCAAGUCAUCAUGGCCCUUACGGCCAGGGCUACACACGUGCUACAAUGGUCGGUACAAAGGGUUGCUACCUCGCGAGAGGAUGCUAAUCUCAAAAAGCCGAUCGUAGUCCGGAUCGCAGUCUGCAACUCGACUGCGUGAAGUCGGAAUCGCUAGUAAUCGCGGAUCAGAAUGCCGCGGUGAAUACGUUCCCGGGCCUUGUACACACCGCCCGUCACACCAUGGGAGUUUGUUGCACCAGAAGUAGGUAGUCUAACCGCAAGGAGGACGCUUACCACGGUGUGGCCGAUGACUGGGGUGAAGUCGUAACAAGGUAGGCGUAGAUGA